Long non-coding RNA from Seriola aureovittata, 1355 nucleotides. RefSeq lists it as uncharacterized. The record is from RefSeq and is a predicted model, not a curated record. The transcript has 4 exons. NCBI's taxonomy places the organism in Eukaryota, Metazoa, Chordata, Actinopteri, Carangiformes, Carangidae.
AGCCUCGUACAAAAAACGGUUUUGGUCUCUGUAGCUAUGACAAUUGUAUGGUGGAUGAAUUUUUAUAUUACUCAAAAGUUAACAUUUGUUAUUAUUAUUUAAAUUAUUCAUAAUUGAGCUGGUGGCCGCUUUGAGUGACAGGUGUAUGACGUCAUAGUGGGCUAACCGCUCGGUGUUUAGCCGUUAACCGUCGGCUGUGUUUGUGAUGCUGUCGUCUUUUGGGGGAUUUUCCAUGUUAAUAUCGGAUAAAUAAAACGGCUUGCUGUGCGGUUUAUUGACGAACACAGCGUGGGGAAGUCUGGGCUCCUGUUUUUUUUUCUUUCUAGUGUUAAACGUUAGCACUAAUUAGCAGGUUUUGUUGUCCGUGUUAACUAUCCUUGGCUUGUUAGCUUAGCUCGUUAACUCGCUAAUCAGCCAGUGAAUGAAUUAGCCUCGGGUUAGCCUUCAAGCAAGACGCUCAGAUGCUAACGGGAGUGUAUGGUUUCCACAGGUAUUAAACCGACGUGCACCGAAGUCUCAACUCCACCACACACGCUCUAUUUCUUUGCCCUUUUUUUUUUUUGGAUUAUCCGUUAAUCGGAGUCAGGCGUUAUCAAGAUGGCGACUCCCUACUCUGAGAUUCUAAACUGCUCUUCUGAAACCUAUGGGAGACGUCACAGAGGAUACGUCCAUUUUUACCUACAGUCGCCCAUAACAGGCAAGCCGUCUGACCAUGCUGGCACCUAGUCCCUACAUCUACCCACACAAGCGGGGCCAUUUCUGGGGCCAGAAUACAGGCCUGGGAAUCGGUGAGCGACGAAAGAAAAGAGGCCAUCACCCAGACCAGAGAGGAGAUCGGCUCGGGCAGGUAAUGACAGAACGCAGAAACGUGACCAGGAGGCUGGUAAAACACAGACUGGGGCCCGACGGCUGCAGCCUGACAUGGAUUGAGGAUGUUGUGGGAUUCCGACAAGCAGGACUGUGCCCACAACGUCAGUGCCAGGACCGAAGGUGGUGGUGAUGGACCAAAAAAUGCAGCAAUGAGCCGACAGAGGCAGGAAAGAAGAAGAAGAGUGUGAGCCAGUUCUUAUGACACAAUGCAGAAAAAACAAACCCGCGUACACCUCCAUUACCCUCCAUCCUCCGUCUGUUUUCCUGCCCCAGGAGAGCUAAUGGGUCAGGGAGGGGGUUAUUUAGUAUGGCACAAGAGGGAGAAGGAGCUCUGCGAUCCCAUCAAAGCUUAGCAUAAAAUCUCCCACUCGCACACACAUCACACAUGUAAACACACCACACACACACGCCCACAAAUAGAGGAUAUGAAGGAGAGAUCAAUCUGUCUUAUGGAGCCAUUGCUGAAAGAACAACAGAUCCCAGGG